GUGAAAUUUCAAUGAUACCCACCUCUAAGAGCCACUCUGCAAAACAAACCACUCAAUAAGCUGGAGGUAAUGGAGACUGCAGGUCAGGCUUUACAGCAAUAUCAUUACCAUACACACUCUCACACACACGCACACACAGUCCCAUUGUCUGGGCAGUACUUAUUAGUGCCCAUGCUAACAGAGUUUGUCCAUAAGUGACCUUAAUUAAGUGGCUAGCACCAUUAGCUGCAGAGCUAAGAGGGUAAGAGCUAUCCAUCUGCAUGUGAAUGUGUGUGUUUUUAUGAUAAUGGCUUUGUUGAGGUGUGUACUGGAAUACUAACUACGGGCUGCACGCAACCCAAAAUGGAUAAAUAGGCAGCUGAAGUUGAGCGUUGAAGAGGGGAUGGUUUAGAUAAGUUACUCAUUGUGAGAAAGACAAAAACAGGGAGCAAUGCCGAGGGCUGCUUUAAAUGCAGGUUAGCCCCAUUUACAAGCACAAAUGUACUCACACGCAGGCACACACAGCACUCAGCUUUCUGAGCGCCUUUCAGUUUGCCCUAUCAUUUUUCAUUAGUUAUGAAAACAAUCUAAUCUCAUCAGGUUUCCAGGUACAAAAUAACUGUGUCAUUGAAACAUUAAUAAAAAAAAGAAGAGUUAUUGAAGAUACUAUAUGUGAUUAUUGUUACUGAUGGAACAAAUCACUGUCAUUGUCAAAUUAUGUACAUUUGUUGUUUAUUUCUAUCCUUUUAUCACAUUAAUAAUAGUUGCUGUGUUGCAAUUUAAUGUAAUCAAUAACUGGUUCAUUAUUUUUCACUGAAUUGUUAUAAAGUCAAUAUUGUGGCUUUUACUCGAUUAUAAGUCUUAUUUAUAUGAGUCAUCGCCGUUGUUGUUGUUGUUGAUGAUGUUGCUGUAGCUAAUGGAUUCUCGCCCUGUUCGCUCGUAAACCUGCUAAACUGGGGUCACAGGGUCAAAGGUCGCUGCUCUUCCUUUGAUGUGACCCUGACAUCCUGAGAGGAAGAGGAAAUGGAGGAGGAAGAGGAUUCUUCAUGGAUUAGUGACAUCAUCAUCACUGUUUGAGGGCAGAGGAAGGAAAGCAGGAGUGACAUGAUGAUCUAUCUGCCAGUCACUUCUCUGUGGAUCUGGUUGGAGGUGAAUCGACACAACAGACAAAAGCUAUGGAGGAUGAUGAAGCGAAAACCAAACAGAGACCACACCUCUCAGUUGUUUAAGCUUGCUUACUUUGCAAUUUCCCCAAAGAUUUAAUGCUUAUUUUCCUUUCUCAUAUCUUCCAAGAGCUGUCUGACCACUUUCAUAAAAAAAAAUUACAUGACCUUUUUGUGUGGCACGGAAGAGUGAGACGAUAUAUUGAUAGACAUGUCUGAUGUAUCAAUAUCUGCUGUUUAAGUUGACAGAUAAGUAAAAAAGAAACUGCAUUACAAAAAUAACCUGAAUCAGAAAUAAAGACAACUUGCAAAGUUUGCCUUGAAAAGGUUAUUUUUCAACUGCAAAAUAUCCUACAUAUAUCGUAUCGUAAAAAAGAAUAACUAUCAGCUUACUAUAUUGUUAAAACCCUUGCAUAUUAUAUUGGUAUCAAAUACAGUAUCACUCUGGCUGUUUAUGGGUCACAAUUCAAGAAAAAGUACAUGUCUAAAAUCUGUGUCCUCUUUCUGCUGGUGCAUAGCUACAUUUUUUUGAUGCAUAAACACCAGCUGUCAGUGGAAUAGUGCAACUAACUAGAGUACAAGUUUUCAUUAAGGGCCGUCCACACCAAACACAAUAACUAUAAAUAUAGUUUUAAAAAUCAUUGUUGCUCAAGUGGAUGGAGUCCACACCACAACUAUAAUGACAAUAACAGUGGUGAAUUACAUCAUUGGGAUGACUUUCAGAGACAUUUGAUAAACAAGUUUGUAGUAUAAAACCUAUAAAAAGCUUAUAUAACGUAAUAUUAGGCUGUAAAUCACAUAAAAAACAUAAUUUUACCUGAAACAUGGUCUCUAGUGCUGAUGGGGUCUGAUGUCCUUUUGAAAAAAAUCAAAGUAUGAAUAAAAAAAGACGACAACUCCCGUAACAGUAAUCUUUAAUGAACCUAAAUCUUUCUGGUUUUCUCUUUUUUUUUCCUCUGCGCAACACACAGCAGUAACAGGUCAUCAAUAACUUAAUCAAUCUAGUAAGCUAGCGACCGGCUAGAGCUCGAAGUACGUGUGUGUGUGGAUACUCACAUUGUAAUGGUUAUAGUUAUUGUUAUAUUUAUUGUUCUUGGUGUGGACGGACAUUUACUCUCUGCAGUCAGCAGAAAUGUCUAUCACCUGCAUGCUCAUGCAUGUUAGCACAGCACAAAAUACUAAAACAAUGGGGGCCAACGAAACAUUGCUCCAUAGCGCCACUAGUGGGCAAAAGUUCCAAUCUUUAAGCUUUAAUUUAUCCAACAAAUAAGGCCUCGUAUAUCUCAUUCCUCUGUACAACCUCUAGUGUCCAGUGUCCAGAAACUAUAAAAAUAACACACAUAAACAAGCCACACUUUUGCAUUGUAGUUUAUUUUGGAGUCAGUCCUAUUUACACUUUACUGCUGACGUAAAAACACAUAGAGCAACAAAUGUGUAUUAAUCCACAACCGAAAAGUGUCCGCACUAAAUCCACUAUUUACUCCUGUUAGUUAAAUGUGUGCUUAAAACCACAGUGGCCACCCUUAAAAUACCCCAAUAUUUCCACUCAAAGGCCCCAGCACAUCCAUAUUUAGGAUGAGUACCAGAAAGAUUACUGAAGCAUGUGGUAAACACAAUGUGUGAUGCCGUUGUCCCUACAUUUAUUCUGGAUAUUUACUGUCUAUAGCUCCAGCAUAUGAUUUGGCAGGUGGGCAGGGAGGGAGGGAGACAGAGGAAGGAGAGGAAGGGGGGGGCAGAGAGAGGGAGAGAGAGCAUAUACAUCACUUCAUCCUUAAUUAGCUGUCAUCAGCUUCUCUCCUCAGAGGAACGAGAGACUAAUAAUUAAUGAUCAAACUCUAAAGUACAGUCACUCUCAUCCUCUCCCUCUCUCCUCCUCUAUCACAGGAAGAAGAAUUAACAAAGAAAAAAGAUAACAGUUGAUUUGGUUAGAGAGUAAUGAAAAAUGACUAGAGGAAAAGCAGCGUUGGUAUCGCAGUAAGCCAAUGAGGGAUCUUGUAGAUUAAAUAAAUGACUCAUCGAAAACCAACAGAAAUGAGGUAAGAGGCAUUUCUCCACCCUCAGGUUACCAAGGUAACCUGCGCUCCCUGCCCUCCAGAUUAUUAUUGCUUGUUUGGUGUAAAAAGAGCCAUGAGCAUCCUCUUUAUUAGUCCAGACUGCAAUGCACAAGGCCAGGAUUAAUGAACCUGCCUUAUCGUCUGCUGAUGUGAGGAGGAUUCAUUUUUACAAGAAGAGAACAUGCCAGGAAAGGCAUAGCAAUGUUUUAACAAAGCCUGUGCGUCUGUGUAGACAAGAGCAGCUAAUUAGAGAGGAACACAGUGUAAGCGGGCAUAUGUGCACAAGGGGACCAGUCAGCCAACACACGACAGGAAAGCGCUGCGGGGGGACGCAGGCAGGCAGGCGACUGACCAGCUCCGGAGCCAACACGGAGCCGCCAUGGAGGCAUGUUAUGGUCUCAGCGCCCCAAGCCCCUGGCACUCUUUCCUGAAGCCCUGUUUGUAGUAGCGGGGAGGGGUGGAAACUGCAGGCUUUACAGACCCCACCACAACCUGUCCUCUCUCCAAGACUGGACCUACUCUGAGGCCAUGAGAUGUGUUUGUGUGUAUGCUUCUUCUUAAGCUGCUCUUAAGUGCUUUAAUUGGAUUAUCCUUAAUGAGUAAACAAACAACUACAGCAGCAAAAUAAUAAGCAAAUGAAUAAACGUGUCAAGAAGCACUUUGCUGUCCUCCCUCCCCGUUCCUUUUUUUUUCACUAUCAGCUCUCACUGUCCUGCCCCCUUUUUACUCAACAUUUCGCUCAUUUACUUCCUCUCAUGUGUAAUUAUCCCGAUUAAGAAUGAUUCAAAAACACUGCUGCUGGAGAGGCGUGUGUGUCACACUCGAACGAGACAGGCGUUCUUAAGUGGCUGCUUUGAAGUCCGUGAUGAGCCUGUGAUUAGUCCUGUGAUUCAUUGACAAGAGAAAGAAAGGGAGGCGAAAAAUGACAGAGAGCGGGCGAGCUCCAGGGGAGACGGAGAGCAAAAAUAAACAAAUGGAGAAUUUUGAAAUGACAUCUGUGAAUAUUAUUAGGACAUUAAUCUGCACUGAUGACACAGAUGCUUAAGCCAUCUCCUUCUGUUAUUGCAAGGAAAAGAGGAGAGGAGAAGAGGAAAUAUAGAGAGGAGCAGAGAGGAAAAGAUUAAAAAGCAGAGGAACAUAAAGAGGAGGAAAUGAAAGAAAGAAGGGAGAGCAGAGGAAAAGGGAGAGUUAACGAAGAAGAGAGGAAAGAGACACAAAAUGUAAGGAAGGAGAAAGAGAGGGGAGAUGAGAGGAGAGGAUUGGAGGAAUAAAGGAAGUGAGAGAUAUGAGAAACAGACAGAGAGGUGAGGAAAUUGGGUAAGAGUGAAUGAGGAGACGAGAGGAAGGAAAUUAGGAGAGGAGACAUGACAAAGGGAGAGGAGGGAAGGAGAGGUUAACUUAUGGAGGAGAGAUGCAAAGGAUGGAAGAGAAAGAGAAAUGGCCAGAGAAGAGAUGAAAUAGGAUGAAGCUACCAAAAGAAAGAGAAGAUGAAAGAGGGGGAGCAAAUAGGAGAGGAAAUGAGGAAAGAGCGAAUAAGAUAAUGGGAGGAAAGAAACAGGAGACAAGGUGGGAAAGGUAGAGAGGAGAGUGGAAGUAAAGUAAAGACGAGACGAGAAAAGAUGUACAGUGAGAAGAUGUGAGGGCAAGAUGAAGGAUGAGAAGAAUGGAAUGAGAAAAGAAGAUCUGGUGAAGUGAAAAGAGGAAUGGAGAGAAAAGAGGAGAUGAAAUGAGAGGAAAACCGAAGAGGAGAUGAGGAAGGAGAGUACAUGAGGAGAUGAGAUAAGAGGAGAGGAGGAAAGGGGGUAGGAGGAAAGAAGAGGAACAAAAAGUAGAGGAGAGGAGAGGAGAGGCUAAAGCACUUUACUCUUUUAAUUCCAAUUUAUGGACCUAUAAAAAGGGCCAUUUCCUAAAAAAUCUAUACAGAAAAAUCUAAGCCAAAUCAUUUCAUCACUUUCUCUGCCCUAAUUGCAGCCAUAUGCAAUUUUAAAGGCUAUUCUACCUUCUAAUGGUUCCCCGGAGGAACGAGGGGUUAAUUGCUGCAGCUGGUGAUGUAGCUCCUCAGUAGAAGAGAAGUGAGGUUUCUCUCUCUGUCGAUCACUCCCUCUUUCUCCUUUUCUCUCUCCUCUGGGAAUAGCUGUCUAACACAGUGUUAAGGAGACAGGAAAAGGAGACUUUUAUGUAUAGGUUCUGGUUUAUUACAACUUAUUUUCCUAGUUUUGGUAAUGAUUUCUAUUGGUUAUAAUAACCCUCUGCUGCAGUUAACUUAUUUGCUGAGUUGACACAUCAGUCAGAAUAGGUCUGACUGAUGUUCACAUCGGUUCGCCAACUUUGGAAAACAAAACAAA
Long non-coding RNA from Dicentrarchus labrax (European seabass), 5541 nucleotides. RefSeq lists it as uncharacterized. The transcript is spliced from 2 exons. The record is from RefSeq and is a predicted model, not a curated record. NCBI's taxonomy places the organism in Eukaryota, Metazoa, Chordata, Actinopteri, Moronidae.